Molecule: ribosomal RNA, 253 nt
Filed under: uncultured bacterium
Lineage: Bacteria
Description: partial 16S ribosomal RNA
Rfam family: Bacterial small subunit ribosomal RNA
Source: RNAcentral
UACGUAGGGUGCGAGCGUUAAUCGGAAUUACUGGGCGUAAAGCGUGCGCAGGCGGUUAUGCAAGACAGAUGUGAAAUCCCCGGGCUCAACCUGGGAACUGCAUUUGUGACUGCAUGGCUAGAGUGCGGCAGAGGGGGAUGGAAUUCCGCGUGUAGCAGUGAAAUGCGUAGAUAUGCGGAGGAACACCGAUGGCGAAGGCAAUCCCCUGGGCCUACACUGACGCUCAUGCACGAAAGCGUGGGGAGCAAACAGG